GAGAUCCUUUCAAGUCAUCAAAAGGUUACACUAUCAUUAGCUCUCCAUGGGGUGUUAUUGUAUUGUUUGUAGCACAUUUGUUAACAGGUAUAAAGUUCUGUUCUCAGAGUACUUUGGGUUAAGAUUCUAUGAAGGAUGACAUGAUAACAUCAAUGCUGAAGAACUGCUACACUGCUACCUUCAAUAAAUUCUUAUCCCGACAAGAACUUUGGUCAAGCUUACUUAUUUUAUGUAUUAGAGAAAUCUAGUACAUUGGCGAGCCACCCAAACUACUGCUCAGCCAAAUGCGGCAAAAUCUAACAAUUUGGCGGAGCCAGCCAGGAGAGACUGACAAGAAGAGAACUCACCAACUUCAACAAGAAGUGAACAGAAGAGUUUUGGAGAUUCUACAGUUCUUGUGUUGAAGAUCAACAGACCGCGUCUGUGGACAUAAGUUAUUUGAAUCAACUUGAUCCUGUCUCAAAGAUUCUAAUUUGGUAAGUGAAACUAUCAGCCCUCUAAAAGAACUUACUUAAAAGAAUGAAAACUUUUUCGUAGGCAGAUCAUUUGAUGUAUAUAGUGUGACCAUAAUAACCAGUGUAGCACUGUUUAAGAAUUUUUGGUUUAGGCCUUUCUCUUGACUCUGUAGGAGCCUUUUAAAUGAUUUAGUUAAUUGUCUUGAGAAUGUAGGAGCUAUAGAAAAAGUGUUUAUAGCUUGGUCCUGUUCUCGAGUCUGUUAGAAUCAUCUAAGAAAGAGGUUUAGUCCGUUCUCAUGAGACUGUAGGAGCCACAGAUGUGUAAUUAUAGGCUUAGUCCUGUUCUCUGGAGUCUGUAAGAAUUGUUUAAGAAACAAUUUAGUCUGUUCAUCAAGAGACUGUAGCUUCUACAGCUUGGUCCUUUCUCUUUAUGUCUGUAGGAAUUGUUCAAGAAACAAUUUAGUCCUUUCAUAAAGAGAUUGUAGAAGCAGAGGCUUGGUCCAUUCUGUUUUUGUCUGUAGGAAUUGUGUGAAAGAAACAAUUUAGUCCAGUAAUCAAGAGAUUGUAGAAGCAAGGGCUUGGUAUUUUCUCUUUGUAUCUGUAGGAAUUGUUUAAGAAACAA
Long non-coding RNA from Carassius carassius (crucian carp), 1077 nucleotides. RefSeq lists it as uncharacterized. Lineage: Eukaryota; Metazoa; Chordata; Actinopteri; Cypriniformes; Cyprinidae. The record is from RefSeq and is a predicted model, not a curated record. The transcript is spliced from 2 exons.